Long non-coding RNA from Gopherus evgoodei (Goodes thornscrub tortoise), 135 nucleotides. RefSeq lists it as uncharacterized. The transcript has 3 exons. The record is from RefSeq and is a predicted model, not a curated record. Lineage: Eukaryota; Metazoa; Chordata; Testudines; Testudinidae.
UGUCAAUUUUGGUUGGAUGUAUUCUUGGUGAUAUCAUCAUAUGACAUAAUCUAUAAUUAAAGAUUAAUCUUUAAUUCCUGGAGACUCCAGGCCAAUCCUGGAGGGUUGGCAACCCUAUAAGAGUUAGGUCCAUUC